RNAcentral lists this ribosomal RNA (393 nucleotides) under uncultured bacterium. RNAcentral describes it as "partial 16S ribosomal RNA". It matches the Rfam family "Bacterial small subunit ribosomal RNA", at positions 523 to 918 of the family's 1533-position model. The record is from RNAcentral.
AUACGGAGGAUGCGAGCGUUAUCCGGAUUUAUUGGGUUUAAAGGGUGCGUAGGCUGUGCGUUAAGUCAGGGGUGAAAUGCCGUCGCUCAACGACGGAGCUGCCCUUGAUACUGGCGUGCUGGAGUACGGAUGCCGUUGGAGGAAUGAGUGGUGUAGCGGUGAAAUGCUUAGAUAUCACUCAGAACACCGAUUGCGAAGGCAUCUCACAAAGCCGCGAUUGACGCUGAGGCACGAAGGUGCGGGGAUCGAACAGGAUUAGAUACCCUGGUAGUCCGCACAGUAAACGAUGAUAACUCGCUGUCGGCGAUAGACAGUCGGUGGCCAAGCGAAAGCGAUAAGUUAUCCACCUGGGGAGUACGACCGCAAGGUUGAAACUCAAAUGAAUUGACGGGG